RNAcentral lists this long non-coding RNA (1506 nucleotides) under Nicotiana benthamiana. RNAcentral's name for it is "long non-coding RNA (NBEN_LNC019415)". Lineage: Eukaryota; Viridiplantae; Streptophyta; Magnoliopsida; Solanales; Solanaceae. The record is from RNAcentral.
AAAAAAGAAAUGCACGAUACAAGCAAACGAUACGUAACGUAAACCAAUAAAAAUGCUGAAAAAAAACAGGUGGACCAAAUUGCGUAGAACUGCUACGUCACCUAAACUGCUCUUCUUAUAAUUACUUGUAAGUUUUAUAUCUUUCUCACAGAAAGCUAGUAAACUUCUAACACAAAAAAAGCAGAGCCAAUAUGUUGAGAAUCCUUAGCAAAAAUCACACAACACCAAAAUCAACAACAAUGGUUACCAGAUCUGAGUCCAAAAUCGAAACUUACGAUGUUUUGGAAGAUUUAUCUUCAUGGGAAUUUGUUAAUCCAUCGGACGAUGAACAAGACAUCUACUCCUUCAGUGAUCAUACUUCUGAUGAUGAAAAUGAUGAAUUGAUAUCAAAGGAAGAUGAUCCAUGUGAAAUCGGGUCACCGUCUUCUCCUUCACAUGUUCAAAUCACUGGUUCAUUGCUUGUUGACUCAUGUGAAAUCGGGUCACCAUUUUCUCCUUCACAUGUUGAAAUCACUGGUCCAUUGUUUGUUUUUGAUGUUAGGGUUGACGAUGGUCAUGAGGAGGAAGAUGAAGUGGAAGAGGAAGAAGAAGAUUAUGAUGGGUAUGAUUUGGAUGAUGAGUUAGUACCAAAAUGGUUGAGUGAUAAAUUUGGGAGACAAAGGAUAAGGAAAUUAGGGAAAAGAGCUUGUUCUAGAAUGAACAAAUCAAAAAGAGGGCCUUAUAUAUUUAACAGGCCAGGUUGUGUUCAUGGAAAACAUGGACUUGGUGUACAGCACAGUUAUGUUUAAAGUGAAUAUUGUAGUUUCAGUUUCAACAAGGAUGAAUAACUGGGAAGUUUUAGGUUGUUUAUUUUAACUGGAAUUAUGGCUGAUUUGAUUUGAAUAUAAUCUUAAUUUGUGUAUUUAGGACUGGUUGGAAUUAGGUUGUUUUUUAAUUUGGUGACUCUGUGGCUUCUUCUAGAAUGAACAAAUCAAAAAGAGGACCUUAUAUAUUUAACAGGCCAGGUUGUGUUCAUGGAAAACAUGGACUUGGUGUACAGCACAGUUAUGUCUAAAGUAAAUAUUGCAGUUUCAGUUUCAACAAGGAUGAAUAACUGGGAAGUUUUAGUUGUUUAUUUAACUGGAAUUAUGGCUGAUUUGAUCUGAAUAUAGUCUUAAUUUGUGUAUUUAGGACUGGUUGGGAUUAGAUAGUUGUUUAAUUUGGUAACUCUUUAGUUUGUGUUUAAGCCUUAGGUUGUUUACUUGGAUUUGGAUGUAAAUAUCUGAAUUUAUCUAAUGCAUUUCAAUUUCAAGAUCCCCUCUUUUCUCUUUUCUGUGUUGUGUUUAUUGGCGUAUGUCAACUAUAAAGAACUCCUUUUGUUCUUCAUAAUUCGCACUGCGAUUUGUGUGGUGCAACGUAACUGCUAUAAUCUAGUCUAGUGGGGGUCUACAUAGGGCAGUGUCUACACCCUUCACGCGAAUGGACAGUGGUGAUCCGCAUUACAACUAUAUUUUAUGCUAUUUUAUG